RNAcentral lists this ribosomal RNA (1287 nucleotides) under Lethal yellowing phytoplasma. RNAcentral describes it as "bacterial SSU rRNA". It matches the Rfam family "Bacterial small subunit ribosomal RNA", at positions 125 to 1409 of the family's 1533-position model. Lineage: Bacteria; Bacillati; Mycoplasmatota; Mollicutes; Acholeplasmatales; Acholeplasmataceae. The record is from RNAcentral.
CCUGCCUUUAAGACGAGAAUAACAAUUGGAAACAGUUGCUAAGGCUGGAUAGGAAAUAAAAAGGCAUCUUUUUAUUUUUAAAAGACCUUCUUCGGAGGGUAUGCUUAAAGAGGGGCUUGCGUCACAUUAGUUAGUUGGUAGGGUAAUGGCCUACCAAGACGAUGAUGUGUAGCUGGACUGAGAGGUUGAACAGCCACAUUGGGACUGAGACACGGCCCAAACUCCUACGGGAGGCAGCAGUAGGGAAUUUUCGGCAAUGGAGGAAACUCUGACCGAGCAACGCCGCGUGAACGACGAAGUACUUCGGUAUGUAAAGUUCUUUUAUUGAAGAAGAAACAAUAGUGGAAAAACUAUCUUGACGUUAUUCAAUGAAUAAGCCCCGGCUAACUAUGUGCCAGCAGCCGCGGUAAUACAUAGGGGGCGAGCGUUAUCCGGAAUUAUUGGGCGUAAAGGGUGCGUAGGCGGUUUAAUAAGUCUCUAGUUUAAUUUCAACGCUUAACGUUGUCCUGCUAGAGAAACUGUUUGACUAGAGUGAGAUAGAGGUAAGCGGAAUUCCAUGUGUAGCGGUAAAAUGUGUAAAUAUAUGGAGGAACACCAGAGGCGUAGGCGGCUUACUGGGUCUUUACUGACGCUGAUGCACGAAAGCGUGGGGAGCAAACAGGAUUAGAUACCCUGGUAGUCCACGCCGUAAACUAUGAGUACUAAGUGUCGGGGUUAAACUCGGUACUGAAGUUAACACAUUAAGUACUCCGCCUGAGUAGUACGUACGCAAGUAUGAAACUUAAAGGAAUUGACGGGAUCCCGCACAAGCGGUGGAUCAUGUUGUUUAAUUCGAAGAUACACGAAAAACCUUACCAGGUCUUGACAUACUCUGCAAAACUAUAGAAAUAUAGUGGAGGUUAUCAGGGAUACAGGUGGUGCAUGGUUGUCGUCAGCUCGUGUCGUGAGAUGUUAGGUUAAGUUCUAAAACGAGCGCAACCCCUGUCGUUAAUUGCCAGCACGUUAUGGUGGGGACUUUAGCGAGACUGCCAAUGAAAAAUUGGAGGAAGGUGGGGAUUACGUCAAAUCAUCAUGCCCCUUAUGAUCUGGGCUACAAACGUGAUACAAUGGCUAUUACAAAGAGUAGCUUAAACGCGAGUUUUUGGCAAAUCUCAAAAAAAUAGUCUUAGUUCGGAUUGAAGUCUGCAACUCGACUUCAUGAAGUUGGAAUCGCUAGUAAUCGCGAAUCAGCAUGUCGCGGUGAAUACGUUCUCGGGGUUUGUACACACCGCCCGUCAAACCACGAAA